Long non-coding RNA from Lolium perenne, 876 nucleotides. RefSeq lists it as uncharacterized. The record is from RefSeq and is a predicted model, not a curated record. NCBI's taxonomy places the organism in Eukaryota, Viridiplantae, Streptophyta, Magnoliopsida, Poales, Poaceae.
CCCAACUGUCCAGCUGAAUCUGCGAGAAUAUUUCCUGCCAGUCGACUAGCACGCAAACAAGUCACCAUCGCCAAUUCGUUUUUAUUCUGCGAGCUAUAUGCACCAUUAGUACCUAAACUUGGCAUUCGGGUGCAUUUUAGUACCUAAAGUUGCAAAACGUGCGUUAGUGGUACCUAAUCUUGGUUUUGGGUUCAGUUAGGCACUAAUCGCGUCCAGAACGUGCCACGUAGGAUGUUGCAUAAUUGAUUUCUGGUCCUUCCACGAAUUCAUAGCUUUCCUUCUUAAUUAGGGGCAAUUUUGGGGGGUUAUUUUGCAAAACAGCAUGUCCAUGAUACGGCUGUAUUCUUUCCUUUUGUGGCCGGUUCUUCUCAGCGGAAACAGAGGAGCCGAAACCACCUCGAGGAUUCCGCGGCGAUCGUCCGUGUCGUCGUCUCUGCGGAGGCCCUGCCGGAGAUGAGGUUCCGCGAGUUCAAGGAGGACCCGCCGGAGUAUGUCAUCCUGGUCCGUGCUCUAGUGCACACCGGCCGCGUCCUCCCAAGAGGAGGAGCAGGAGCCCAUGUCGGUCAGGUCGCUGAUCUCAACCUCAGAGCUGCCGCUUGCCUGGCGCACGCCGGCAUCCUCCAAGCGGAGAAGAAGGAGUGGCCGUCCUGGUCGCCCGCCGUUGCGCCUGCUGCCUGCGUCGUCCAAAUUUAAUUUGCUGUUGCUGUACUGAAUAGGACAUCAAGUUGCCUGUACAUAUGUUCAUCUAUAUUUGUAGAACUGCAGUACUGCACAUAUUGUAAGGGCAAAAUAUUAUGUGUUUGCUCGAAUGUUAUAGAUAAAUGAGUGUUCAACAAUUGUUUUUCUUCCAGUAAACUUUGUGCAAGUUACUCCUGA